RNAcentral lists this ribosomal RNA (1014 nucleotides) under Triticum aestivum (bread wheat). RNAcentral describes it as "partial small subunit ribosomal RNA". Lineage: Eukaryota; Viridiplantae; Streptophyta; Magnoliopsida; Poales; Poaceae. The record is from RNAcentral.
AUGGCAACAUCUUCAAAUACCUUCCCAUCCUCUCCAUUCGCUCACGUCGCCUCAGAGAAACUCACCAAGGGCAACCAGGCACUAUGGCGGGCGACGGUUCUGUCUGCCAUCCGAGGUGCUCAAAUGCAGAAGUACCUCAACGUCGAUCAUCCAGUGCCACCCAUGGAGCUGGAGGUCACGGACUCCGACGGGAAGACCAAGAAGAAGGCGCCCAACUCGGAGUUUCAAACCUGGUAUGCACAAGAUCAACAAGUUUUCUCACAUCUUCUGACAACACUGCCCCGUGAGAUGGCAAUUCAGGUUGCCACCUGCCACACCUCGACGGAGCUAUGGAACACGGUUCAGGGGAUGCUGGCCUCGCAGACCCGUGCCGCGACUGUGAAUGUCUGGAUCGCCCUCGCCAAUCUUCAGAAAGGAAACGGCUCCAUCACCGAGUACGUUGGCAAGAUCCGAACCCUCUGUGAUGAACUUGCCGCAGCAGGAAAGAGGGUGGACGAGGAGGAUGUUGUCUCCCACAUCCUGGCCGGGCUUGAAGAAGACUUCGACCCGGUGGUCUCCGCCAUGUGCUCCCGAGUGGAGCCAGUCACCGUGCCGGAGCUGUACUCACAGCUUGUCAACUUCGAGACACGGAUGAACCUCCGCCAUGGGGGAUCGCAGUCUUCGGUGAACGCGGUGACACGCGGGCGCGGCCGUGGCGGUGGUGACCAUGGCCGCGGCAAGCAAGGCAGCGGCAACUCUGGUGGUGAUCGCGGCCGUCCCUACACCAAGCAAAACGGCCGCGGCGGAGGUGGCAGGGGCAACUACAACAACUCUGCCUCUGCACCCAAGGUGGUGUGCCAGAUCUGUGGCAAGCCAGGCCACCCGGCCUGGAAGUGCUGGAAGCGCUAUGACGAGUCGUACCAGGGAGAAGAAGAGAAGUCCACCAACAUGGUGACGCCUCAGUAUGGGUGUCGGUGUCAAAACCGGCGGAUCUCGGGUAGGGGGUCCCGAACUGUGCGUCUAGGCGGAUGGUAA